Molecule: RNA transcript, 4447 nt
Organism: Pomacea canaliculata
Lineage: Eukaryota; Metazoa; Mollusca; Gastropoda; Architaenioglossa; Ampullariidae
Exons: 12
Source: RefSeq, a predicted model, not a curated record
AGGUAUAAAGACUAUGUCAUAUAUUGAUUGCAGGUCGAUUGAACAAAUAACACUGAAUUCGAUGAUCGUGUACUUUUCAAUGUGGUCACACUCAUGUGAUCAUGAAAGUUCUCUCUCUCUCUCUUCCUGUGCAGCCGGACAUGCACGAUGAAAGUCUGUAAACCCGAUCACCACCCCAACAUGAUACUCCCCUUGCUAUUCAUUUGAGCUGAUGCUGAUUCAUUUGCCAUUCAUUUGCCAUGAUAAUUAUGUCAGGUUAAGCUGACCCAAUGAAUUAUUAACCAUUAGCAUGUUCGCUGAUGUUUUAUGUUUUCCCCUGCUGCGUACGUGCCAGUCACUGGAAAAGCAAACUUUAGCACACUACUGAGGACUAGUCGGACUCGAGAGAGGGACAAUUGAAACAGGAAACCAGCGACAACAACAAAAUUUGUGACAUCACAGAACAGCGUCCCUUCUCCUACGCCAUCAUCAUCCCUUCCUCUCUUCACUCUUUUCAUCUAGUUUUAUGAUAAACCUCAGGCUCCCAUCAAUAUGUGGAGCCAAAAAAAAUAAAAAAAGAAACAACGGCCAUUGUGUAGACGAGUUUCUCCCUCCCAAACUGAUCAAUGUGUAUUCCGUUCCCAGAAGAGGGAACUUUCACUUUCGCUUUUGCUUUCACCUUCCCAGAACGACCGUUCAGCACACUUGUGAAUCAUUCAUUGUUUCCUCGGGGAGGAUUGACACACUCGGUGUUUGCAGUACAGUCCACGUUUGAGGAUGCUUUGGGCUCUUGCACUUCUCGUCGCUGCUCGUUACGCAGGAUGUCAUGAUGCAAAGUCUACAAUGUGUCCUGAAGCGUUCAACUGUUUAAAGAUACACUCACCAGACGAUUUGUGCCCAUCAGAAGCUACCUUCACCUGUCUGAGUAACCUGCGCAACACCUGCAAGGUGGACGAGAGUAAAGUGACCUUUAUGGACUUGCAGCCUUAUGUACAGAACGUGUGUCAUGAAUUCAAAGAUCAUCUUUCUGAAAUUUCAUCGUGUGCGACCUUUGAUGCCUGCCGUGAGAAUAUCAAAAUAAGUCAGAUCAUGGGAGCAUCUCCAGAGGAACAGGAAAAGAUGUCUGGACUCUUGGUGUCAUCCGACACCUACUGUAGCUUCUUGGAAGACUUGCUCGCUUGUGUCAUAAAGGAGAAGGAGGCUGGACGAUGUUCCUUCUCCGCAGAGUUUUUUAAGUACAUUAUGGACACGAAACAGAGUCUGACUAAGCUGUGUGGAGGGAAUGCAAACGUGUUCGGCCAAGGAUUGCAAGAACUGUAAACAUCCUCAUCUUGGAGCAUGGAUAGCGGCAAAACUUACAGAUAGACACCUACUGGUUGUUUGAUGGAGUGAAGACAGCAGAAAUACGAGCAGUGGGACCGUCAGCUUUAGUUUGGGCAACAUCAUUUAUCUUGAAAAAUCUUUGAUAUGUAGUCGCCGUAAUAUUUGCUUUUCUUAUAAUCUUUGUGUUUGUGUUGUGACACUGCCUCAUGUGAUGUAGUAUUUGAAAAUGUUUUGUGAACGUUGUUAAAUCAGAAGUAAUCUUUAUCAGAAAUUUUAACAUAAAAGAACGCUUUUAUUUUAUUUGCUUGAUGGUUUAUCUUUGCAAAUAACAUUUUGACUGUGUUGAGAUUUCUUAUAUCGCUUGCUUUCCUUGUAUCACACAACAAAUGAGUACAUCUUGAUUUUUAUAUUAUUUUAUGAUUUUAUCAACCUAAAUUUGAAAUUGAAUUGGCUUGAAUUGCUCAGUGGUAUUGAAGUUAACAUUCACAGACGUAGCCUGAGCAAGGGAGGUAACUGAGCUCGCGGAACACAGACAACUUUGCAGCCGAAAUAAAUAUUGACAAAGAAAAAGGUAGUCUCUGUAAACAUGCGAAUAAUAAACAAGACUAAGCGACAGAGUGAAAUAAGAUAACACUUUCUCUGUCCCAGAGGGCAAUUCGAUUAAAAAUCCACACCUGGAUUAAAAAAAACAUUCUACUUUAUCUCGUCAUUGGUUAUCUCUUAAACAAUGAUUGGAAACUUUCUAUAUUCUGAAGAAAAAAUGAAAAAGGAUUGUCAUUGUAAACGGUAAAACAGUAAUGGUGUUAGUCAGACCAUCUUCGGGACAGUAACCGACAUAGGGUCAUUGCUCGCAGCUUCAGGAAUCACCUUCAGCACGUAAUUUCUCUGACAAUAUGGCAUUAGUUUUCAUUUGGUUUAUUUUUAUUUGUUGGUUUUAAAACAGUAUUAAAAUCAUUUACACACAUCAUACAUAUUAAAUAAAUAUAAAAUCAGGAAAUAUGCUUAUUUAGGGCUCAUGGGUAGAUUCGGCAGCUGACAAAAAUGUUCUUUUAAGCACACAUGGAAACUUUGUGUCAAUCUGAACUUUUAUUCUUUAGUCACAGUCUGGUUCUUUCUCGUGAGCCUUAAUAGAAUGUAGAGCAGCGAGUGUCGACUAUGCUGACACGCCUAUUUACGAGUUACACACCUGCAAACUCCUGAACAGAGAGGGCUGACGAGGCAGACACACCUGACUGCUGACGAUACGCUUCAUGUCCCCUAACCGCAGGUGCUGACUGGGUAGGUACACCCGGCUGGCGACGAUACAUUCCAAUAACCAGGAACAGCGGGUACUGACUGACCUAGCUGCUGACGAUACUCGCUUCCAAUCGUCUUUCCUUCUCUCGUUCAUUCAUCCUCCUGGGUAAUUGACUAUACCAGGUAAUUCCUCCUCCGAGGUAAUUCCUGAAAUGCUUACUUUGCUACUGAAUAUUCGUAUGGACCUUUAUCACGGUUACAACAACAGAUAAAAAACACUUUCCAUUUCCACCUAUAAACACAUAUUACAUAAUUUUACACCAUUCUUCCACUGAAAUGUAAAUAUCCAAAGCAAAAAAAAAAAACAAAAACAAUAAAAAAAACAAAAACAAAACCAAAAACAAAAUAAAGCAAAACAAAAACCAAACAACUGGUCUAAUACCUUGACUAGGUAAGAAAUUAUUCCGAUUCCCCGAUCUCUCCCACUCGAAAUUUCUGCUUCAAGGACUUGCGUGGGAAUAACCAAACUCCGUCUUGUCCCCAACUACAGGGGUUCAGAGAACCGCUCGCUCACUCAUGCAGUGCUUUUCUUAGAACGUCCUCACUCCCACGUAUUACAACUAGUACACGGUGAAGGGGAUAAUCUCUGCCUCCCAGCAAACAGAGGCGUCAACCCACCCACACCAACGAUUCUACCAGUAAUAUAUCAUAACACUCCGUGGUUAUACCUACCCUUCUCCGCACCCAUCCCCCAUCACAGGGUCAUGCUAACUACCCUUUCCGUCGAUGAUCCAAUCAGAAAUGAGCACGCUAGUGCACAAAGGUCAUUCCAUGCACUGCAGGUACCCAGCCCGUCUUUACGGUCCAGUACUUUUCAGGUUAGCGGAACCGCGGUUAUUUGGGAAAUCGGUUCUAGUUGAAAUCAGGGUGUAUAUAUACAGUACGAACCCAGUGCACUACUUGCAUUCCCGGUCGAGUACCAUAGGUAGAAACUUUUUUCUCUCAUUCAACAAUCCGUCUACUAGCCAGCCUCUUUACCUUCAAACCAACCAGUUCAAGUGAUCAGUCAACUUGUUCAACCUAUCAACCAAUCAACCCGAUCGGUCUCUGCUGGUGAGGAGAGUCGAUUGUCGAUGUUUGCUGCUGAGUCCCGCAUCACGAUGACAAUGUUGACAGCUAUUGUGGUCUUCACCUGCACCUGGCUGUUUGCAAAUGCAGACCCCAAACCGUGUCCUCAAGCCUUUGACUGUAUAAAGGUACAUGAUGAAUGAGACGAGAGACCAAGUGAACACAAAGAGGACACAACACGCACGCACUGCGAGGUGGCAGGUCUAAUGUCCGGUCAAGGUGCGGCUUGCACUUGUAGCAAGACAGCAUCUCCAACCGAGACUCGAACUCUCAGUGAGUAUAUCGGAAGCUACCUUCACCUGUCUGAGGAACCUGCGUGGAACUUGCGAUGUGGACGAGAGCAAAGUGAGCUUUAGCGAGCUGCUGCCGUAUUUCGAGAAAAUAUGUAAUGAUUCUUUCUCUGACUUUCACACGUGUGACGCCGUCGGGGGCUGCCUUGAGAAUAUCACAAUAUCUCAGAUCAUGGAAGCACCUCCAGACCAACGGAAUGCAACGUCUGGACUGUUGGUGUUAUCCGACACCUACUGUAGCGAUUUGCAAGAUUUUGCCACUUGUGUGAUAAACGAGAAGGAGGCUGGACGAUGUACAAUCUCCACAGAGUUUUUGAACUACAUCAUGGAUAUAAAACAGAAUCUGGCCAAGCUGUGUGGAAGCACUGGGUCUGUAGGUGGUCUCGUGGUUAACACAGUUCUUAUUCUGAUUGUUUCCGCCAUCGCAAGUUUUGCAAAAUAAAGCCCAAAACUCAGAAGUGUUCUGAUUUUCAAUAUAUAUGAACUGAAAA